GAUGAACGCUGGCGGCGUGCCUAAUACAUGCAAGUCGAACGCUGGAAAUCUAGCUUGCUAGAUUGAAGGAGUGGCGAACGGGUGAGCAAUACAUAAGCAACCUACCCACGAAGACUGGGAGAAUCUCUGGAAACGGGGACUAAUACCGGAUAGGUAAUCGGAAGGCAUCUUCUGAUUAUUAAAGGUUAAAAACACUGGUGGAUGGGCUUAUGGCGCAUUAGUUAGUUGGUGAGGUAACGGCCCACCAAGACGAUGAUGCGUAGCCGGCCUGAGAGGGUGAACGGCCACAUUGGGACUGAGACACGGCCCAGACUCCUACGGGAGGCAGCAGUAGGGAAUUUUCGGCAAUGGGGGAAACCCUGACCGAGCAACGCCGCGUGAGUGAUGACGGCCUUCGGGUUGUAAAGCUCUGUUGUAAGGGAAGAACGGUAGAUAGAGAAUAUCUAAAUGACGGUACCUUACCAGAAAGCCACGGCUAACUACGUG
RNAcentral lists this ribosomal RNA (486 nucleotides) under uncultured bacterium. RNAcentral describes it as "partial 16S ribosomal RNA". It matches the Rfam family "Bacterial small subunit ribosomal RNA", at positions 28 to 507 of the family's 1533-position model. The record is from RNAcentral.